This 460-nucleotide ribosomal RNA is filed under the name uncultured Chloroflexota bacterium. Its description in RNAcentral is "bacterial SSU rRNA". It matches the Rfam family "Bacterial small subunit ribosomal RNA", at positions 355 to 824 of the family's 1533-position model. Lineage: Bacteria; Bacillati; Chloroflexota. The record is from RNAcentral.
UAGGGAAUAUUGCACAAUGGACGAAAGUCUGAUGCAGCAACGCCGCGUGUGCGAUGAAGGCCUUCGGGUUGUAAAGCACUUUUAUGAGGGAAGAGCAAGGACUGUACCUCAUGAAUAAGGAUCGGCUAACUACGUGCCAGCAGCCGCAGUAACACGUAGGAUCCGAGCGUUAUCCGGAUUUACUAGGGCGUAAAGCGCGUGUAGGUGGUUUGCUAAGUUGGGUGUUAAAUCUCUCGGCUCAACUGGGAGGUGUCGCUCAAAACUAGCAGACUGGAGGAUGGUAGAGGAAGGCCGGAAUUCCGGGUGUAGUGGUGAAAUUGCGUAGAUAUCCGGAGGAACACCAGUGGCGAAAGGCGGGCCCUUCUGGACCAUUCCUGUACACUCCAACGCGAAAGCUAGGGGAGCAAACGGGAUUAGAAACCCCGGUAGUCCUAGCUGUAAACGAUGUGAACUUGGUGUU